This 368-nucleotide ribosomal RNA is filed under the name uncultured bacterium. RNAcentral describes it as "bacterial SSU rRNA". It matches the Rfam family "Bacterial small subunit ribosomal RNA", at positions 527 to 896 of the family's 1533-position model. The record is from RNAcentral.
GUAGGGUGCAAGCGUUAAUCGGAAUUACUGGGCGUAAAGCGUGCGCAGGCGGUUGUGUAAGUCAGAUGUGAAAUCCCCGGGCUCAACCUGGGAAUUGCAUUUGAGACUGCACGGCUAGAGUGUGUCAGAGGGGGGUAGAAUUCCACGUGUAGCAGUGAAAUGCGUAGAUAUGUGGAGGAAUACCGAUGGCGAAGGCAGCCCCCUGGGAUAACACUGACGCUCAUGCACGAAAGCGUGGGAGCAAACAGGAUUAGAUACCCUGGUAGUCCACGCCCUAAACGAUGUCUACUAGUUGUCGGGUCUUAAUUGACUUGGUAACGCAGCUAACGCGUGAAGUAGACCGCCUGGGGAGUACGGUCGCAAGAUUA